This is a small nuclear RNA of Myotis lucifugus (little brown bat), 108 nucleotides long. The record is from Ensembl. NCBI's taxonomy places the organism in Eukaryota, Metazoa, Chordata, Mammalia, Chiroptera, Vespertilionidae.
GUGCUCACUUUUGCAGCACAGAUGCAGUGCUAAAAUUGGAAGGAUAUGGAGAUAGCAUAGCUUCUACACAAGGAUGACAUGCAAAUCCAUGAAGCAUUCUAUAUAUUG